GCCGAUUAAAAUUUUCACUUACAAUGAAAAAUACCUUAACAGGCGGGUUCAUUAGUUAAGGUGGCUUAA
Molecule: transfer RNA, 69 nt
Filed under: Gammarus sp. 2114a
Lineage: Eukaryota; Metazoa; Arthropoda; Malacostraca; Amphipoda; Gammaridae
Also listed under: 1 other name
Description: tRNA-Val
Source: RNAcentral